CCCUUCACUCUAAUGUACAUUUGAUGAUAAAUAUGCCUAUCUAUCUUCUCAUAGUCUCUGUACUUCCGCAGUAAUCUUCGGAGGACUCUCAUUCUUCUCAUCCAUAGCAGCUUUGUAGUCUAACACGAAGAGAAAAGAAAAGAGAAGAUGCAACAAUUUUCUAGAAAAAGUUGAAGUGCUUACUUGAAUUGGCCAAGGAGAUGGUGGUGGUCUCGUUCGGAUCAAGCCAUACUCGACGUUUGCCACAGUCAAGGCUGCUGGCGGCAAGCCGCUUUUGUAGGGUGAGAGACACCAUUGUUUGUUCUGCUUGUGGUGACUUCUUCUCUACACUGGACCAAAAAAAUGCAAACUUGAAAGAGCUUGAGGUGAGCUAAUUGGCUUAAAUGCUUUCUAUAUGAAAACGAAUCUGAAAGGUUUUAUAUAUAAAGUAAAAUGUCAAUUGCUUGGUUUUGUGUUACUUGGGAUGCAAGGAUUAUGCCUUCUUCGUUUCUUCCAUAUUCCCCUUUGUUUCUUUGACCAUUCAAACAGGGCUUGAAAAUUUUAAGUGUUUCCUUGGGGCCAAAGUAAAGUUGUAAUUAAUUUGUUUGUGUUAUUUUUUAUUAAAGUGAGGAAGGAUGAUAUGUUUAACUUCACAUUUAUAAACUGUGGUAAUUGAUAUAUAUGUCAUUGAUUCAGCUA
Cucumis melo (muskmelon) is the source of this 678-nucleotide long non-coding RNA. RefSeq lists it as uncharacterized. The record is from RefSeq and is a predicted model, not a curated record. NCBI's taxonomy places the organism in Eukaryota, Viridiplantae, Streptophyta, Magnoliopsida, Cucurbitales, Cucurbitaceae. The transcript is spliced from 2 exons.